CAGCCAUCUAGACAAUGAGUACUAAGUGUCAAGUGAAAUCGAUCAUCAUCACACUUGAUGAACAUUUCCCAUGUUUCCACGAGGCCAAGUGCAUUGAAGUCUUAAGUGGUAACAAAACCCCAAUAGAAUGAACAGCAUAAGAGUGAUGUCAGUGUCUGAGCUGAAGCAACUGUAGACACACAUUCUAGUGAUAAAGAAAGGUGAUAUCCGUUAAAGAUCCAUUGAUGUUGAUGAAGUACUUUUGAUGGGUAUUGGUCUGUUGUUACAUUUGGAUAAGUGGACAGUAUGCCAUGAUGAGACAGUCAUCCACCUGCAGUCUGCCAUGAGAUGGUCGUCCACCUGCAGUCUGCCAUGAGAUGACCAUCCACCUGCAGUCUGCCACGAGAUGGUUGUUCACCUGCAGUAUGCCAUG
Molecule: long non-coding RNA, 412 nt
Organism: Mya arenaria
Lineage: Eukaryota; Metazoa; Mollusca; Bivalvia; Myida; Myidae
Exons: 4
Source: RefSeq, a predicted model, not a curated record